UGAACUGAAGUAUGCCUCCUCGUGGACUCUGACGGGCCAGCCUCGUGAUCAGAAAUAAACUGAAUAUCUGGUGAUACUGCCCUGUGAUCACGGAUGGGUGAGGAUGGUCCUUCCUCCUCUGCUCUGUCCUCAGCUCUCUCUUCCACACCUUUUGUCUAACCACCAUCAGUUUUGGAAAAUCCCAUGCGGUGCAAAGUAUGGUGGUUGAUAGUGUCGGAGUGAGAUAGCCUAGCUACUGCCUCCCCCUCAAAGCUAACUCCAAACCUCCUAAAUACUAAAGUGAGAGCCAUACCAAAAGGCAAAUGUGCCUUAGACCUAUUCAAGGUCUCUCUCAUGGCCUCAAACAUCAAUGCCGGG
This 357-nucleotide long non-coding RNA is filed under the name Elaeis guineensis (African oil palm). RNAcentral's name for it is "long non-coding RNA (EGUI_LNC081605)". The record is from RNAcentral. Lineage: Eukaryota; Viridiplantae; Streptophyta; Magnoliopsida; Arecales; Arecaceae.